This 497-nucleotide ribosomal RNA is filed under the name uncultured bacterium. Its description in RNAcentral is "partial 16S ribosomal RNA". It matches the Rfam family "Bacterial small subunit ribosomal RNA", at positions 28 to 507 of the family's 1533-position model. The record is from RNAcentral.
GAUGAACGCUGGCGGCGUGCCUAAUACAUGCAAGUCGAGCGGACGGACGAUAAGCUUGCUUCUCUGAUGUUAGCGGCGGACGGGUGAGUAACGCGUGGAUAACCUACCUAUAAUACUGGGAUAAUUUCGGAAAACCGGAUCUAAUACCGGAUAAUAUUUUGAACCGCAUGGUUCAAAGGUGAAAGACGGUGUUGGGGUCUCUUAUAGCGGGUUCCGCGCUGGAUGAGCUAGUUGGGAAGGUAACGGCUUACCAAGGCGACGAUGCAUAGACGACCGGAGAGGGUGAUAGGCCACACUGGAAGUGAGACACGGUCCAGAGUCCUACGGGAGGCAGCAGUAGGGAAUAUUCCGCAAUGGGCGAAAGCCUGACGGAGCAACGCCGCGUGAGUGAUGAAGGUCUUCGGAUCGUAAAACUCUGUUAUUGGGGAAGAACAGAUGUGUAAGUAAAUGUGGACAUCUUGACGGUACCUAAUCAGAAAGCCACGGCUAACUACGUG